CAAUUUAAACAACGAAGAGUUUGAUCCUGGCUCAGGAUGAACGCUAGCGACAGGCUUAACACAUGCAAGUCGAGGGGCAGCGGGGGUAGCAAUACCGGGUGGCGACCGGCGCACGGGUGAGUAACGCGUAUGCAACUUACCUAUCAGAGGGGGAUAACCCGGCGAAAGUCGGACUAAUACCGCAUGAAGCAGGGGCCCCGCAUGGGGAUAUUUGCUAAAGAUUCAUCGCUGAUAGAUAGGCAUGCGUUCCAUUAGGCAGUUGGCGGGGUAACGGCCCACCAAACCGACGAUGGAUAGGGGUUCUGAGAGGAAGGUCCCCCACAUUGGUACUGAGACACGGACCAAACUCCUACGGGAGGCAGCAGUGAGGAAUAUUGGUCAAUGGGCGUAAGCCUGAACCAGCCAAGUCGCGUGAGGGAUGAAGGUUCUAUGGAUCGUAAACCUCUUUUAUAAGGGAAUAAAGUGCGGGACGUGUCCCGUUUUGUAUGUACCUUAUGAAUAAGGAUCGGCUAACUCCGUGCCAGCAGCCGCGGUAAUACGGAGGAUCCGAGCGUUAUCCGGAUUUAUUGGGUUUAAAGGGUGCGUAGGCGGCCUUUUAAGUCAGCGGUGAAAGUCUGUGGCUCAACCAUAGAAUUGCCGUUGAAACUGGGAGGCUUGAGUAUGUUUGAGGCAGGCGGAAUGCGUGGUGUAGCGGUGAAAUGCUUAGAUAUCACGCAGAACCCCGAUUGCGAAGGCAGCCUGCCAAGCCAUGACUGACGCUGAUGCACGAAAGCGUGGGGAUCAAACAGGAUUAGAUACCCU
Molecule: ribosomal RNA, 801 nt
Filed under: Turicibacter sanguinis
Lineage: Bacteria; Bacillati; Bacillota; Erysipelotrichia; Erysipelotrichales; Turicibacteraceae
Description: bacterial SSU rRNA
Rfam family: Bacterial small subunit ribosomal RNA
Source: RNAcentral